RNAcentral lists this ribosomal RNA (636 nucleotides) under Golovinomyces magnicellulatus. RNAcentral's name for it is "partial 28S ribosomal RNA". It matches the Rfam family "Eukaryotic large subunit ribosomal RNA", at positions 23 to 671 of the family's 3401-position model. The record is from RNAcentral. Lineage: Eukaryota; Fungi; Ascomycota; Leotiomycetes; Helotiales; Erysiphaceae.
ACCCGCUGAACUUAAGCAUAUCAAUAAGCGGAGGAAAAGAAACCAACCGGGAUUACCUCAGUAACGGCGAGUGAAGCGGUAACAGCUCAAAUUUGAAAUCUGGCUCCUGCGGAGUCCGAGUUGUAAUUUGUAGAAGAUGCUUUGGGAGGUAGGGCCGGCCUAAGUUCCUUGGAACAGGACAUCAGAGAGGGUGAGAAUCCCGUAUGUGGCCGCGGCCUACGCCCGUGUAAAGCUCUUUCGACGAGUCGAGUUGUUUGGGAAUGCAGCUCAAAAUGGGUGGUAAAUUUCAUCUAAAGCUAAAUAUUGGCCAGAGACCGAUAGCGCACAAGUAGAGUGAUCGAAAGAUGAAAAGCACUUUGGAAAGAGAGUUAAACAGUACGUGAAAUUGUUGAAAGGGAAGCGCUUGCACCCAGACUUGGGCGUCGUCGAUCAUCCGAGGUUCUCCUCGGUGCACUCGGCGAUGCACAGGCCAGCAUCGGUUUGGAUGGCUGGAGAAAGGCGCUAGGAACGUAGCUCUCUUCGGGGAGUGUUAUAGCCUAGGGCGUAAUGCAGCCCAUCCGGACCGAGGACCGCGCCUUCGGGCUAGGAUGCUGGCGUAAUGGUUGCAAGCGACCCGUCUUGAAACACGGACCAAGG